Molecule: long non-coding RNA, 283 nt
Organism: Petromyzon marinus (sea lamprey)
Lineage: Eukaryota; Metazoa; Chordata; Hyperoartia; Petromyzontiformes; Petromyzontidae
Source: RefSeq, a predicted model, not a curated record
CCGAAGGCCUCGUUCGUCGGAGCGAAGAUCGUGAGGUCUACUGGCAUUGACAGCUUCUCCGCAAACCCCGCCGUACGCAGCAGCGACACCAGCAUCCUGCGAGGGAUCGGCACGGGUGGCAUGCAGUGAAAGACUCUGCGGAGGAGAGGGGUCACAAGAGACAUAGGAGAGGACAAGACGAUCAGCUCCGGUAGCAGUGCAGCUGCACUGCUUGCGCGCUCGGUAACUGCGUCCGCAAAUCCCCACCGGAGUCGGGCAGCACGAGGUGGUCGAUGAGGUGCAC